GCAGUAGUGGCUCAGUGGUAGAAUUCUCACCUUCCAUGUGGGAGACCUGGGUUUGAUUCCUGGCCAGUGCA
This 71-nucleotide transfer RNA is filed under the name Loxodonta africana (African savanna elephant). It matches the Rfam family "tRNA". From Rfam's summary of the family: Transfer RNA (tRNA) molecules are approximately 80 nucleotides in length. Their secondary structure includes four short double-helical elements and three loops (D, anti-codon, and T loops). Further hydrogen bonds mediate the characteristic L-shaped molecular structure. tRNAs have two regions of fundamental functional importance: the anti-codon, which is responsible for specific mRNA codon recognition, and the 3' end, to which the tRNAs corresponding amino acid is attached (by aminoacyl-tRNA synthetases). tRNAs cope with the degeneracy of the genetic code in two manners: having more than one tRNA (with a specific anti-codon) for a particular amino acid; and 'wobble' base-pairing, i.e. permitting non-standard base-pairing at the 3rd anti-codon position. The record is from Rfam by way of RNAcentral. Lineage: Eukaryota; Metazoa; Chordata; Mammalia; Proboscidea; Elephantidae.